RNAcentral lists this ribosomal RNA (1693 nucleotides) under Escherichia coli. RNAcentral describes it as "partial 23S ribosomal RNA". It matches the Rfam family "Bacterial large subunit ribosomal RNA", at positions 1252 to 2925 of the family's 2925-position model. The record is from RNAcentral. Lineage: Bacteria; Pseudomonadati; Pseudomonadota; Gammaproteobacteria; Enterobacterales; Enterobacteriaceae.
GAAGGUGUGCUGUGAGGCAUGCUGGAGGUAUCAGAAGUGCGAAUGCUGACAUAAGUAACGAUAAAGCGGGUGAAAAGCCCGCUCGCCGGAAGACCAAGGGUUCCUGUCCAACGUUAAUCGGGGCAGGGUGAGUCGACCCCUAAGGCGAGGCCGAAAGGCGUAGUCGAUGGGAAACAGGUUAAUAUUCCUGUACUUGGUGUUACUGCGAAGGGGGGACGGAGAAGGCUAUGUUGGCCGGGCGACGGUUGUCCCGGUUUAAGCGUGUAGGCUGGUUUUCCAGGCAAAUCCGGAAAAUCAAGGCUGAGGCGUGAUGACGAGGCACUACGGUGCUGAAGCAACAAAUGCCCUGCUUCCAGGAAAAGCCUCUAAGCAUCAGGUAACAUCAAAUCGUACCCCAAACCGACACAGGUGGUCAGGUAGAGAAUACCAAGGCGCUUGAGAGAACUCGGGUGAAGGAACUAGGCAAAAUGGUGCCGUAACUUCGGGAGAAGGCACGCUGAUAUGUAGGUGAAGUCCCUCGCGGAUGGAGCUGAAAUCAGUCGAAGAUACCAGCUGGCUGCAACUGUUUAUUAAAAACACAGCACUGUGCAAACACGAAAGUGGACGUAUACGGUGUGACGCCUGCCCGGUGCCGGAAGGUUAAUUGAUGGGGUCAGCGCAAGCGAAGCUCUUGAUCGAAGCCCCGGUAAACGGCGGCCGUAACUAUAACGGUCCUAAGGUAGCGAAAUUCCUUGUCGGGUAAGUUCCGACCUGCACGAAUGGCGUAAUGAUGGCCAGGCUGUCUCCACCCGAGACUCAGUGAAAUUGAACUCGCUGUGAAGAUGCAGUGUACCCGCGGCAAGACGGAAAGACCCCGUGAACCUUUACUAUAGCUUGACACUGAACAUUGAGCCUUGAUGUGUAGGAUAGGUGGGAGGCUUUGAAGUGUGGACGCCAGUCUGCAUGGAGCCGACCUUGAAAUACCACCCUUUAAUGUUUGAUGUUCUAACGUUGACCCGUAAUCCGGGUUGCGGACAGUGUCUGGUGGGUAGUUUGACUGGGGCGGUCUCCUCCUAAAGAGUAACGGAGGAGCACGAAGGUUGGCUAAUCCUGGUCGGACAUCAGGAGGUUAGUGCAAUGGCAUAAGCCAGCUUGACUGCGAGCGUGACGGCGCGAGCAGGUGCGAAAGCAGGUCAUAGUGAUCCGGUGGUUCUGAAUGGAAGGGCCAUCGCUCAACGGAUAAAAGGUACUCCGGGGAUAACAGGCUGAUACCGCCCAAGAGUUCAUAUCGACGGCGGUGUUUGGCACCUCGAUGUCGGCUCAUCACAUCCUGGGGCUGAAGUAGGUCCCAAGGGUAUGGCUGUUCGCCAUUUAAAGUGGUACGCGAGCUGGGUUUAGAACGUCGUGAGACAGUUCGGUCCCUAUCUGCCGUGGGCGCUGGAGAACUGAGGGGGGCUGCUCCUAGUACGAGAGGACCGGAGUGGACGCAUCACUGGUGUUCGGGUUGUCAUGCCAAUGGCACUGCCCGGUAGCUAAAUGCGGAAGAGAUAAGUGCUGAAAGCAUCUAAGCACGAAACUUGCCCCGAGAUGAGUUCUCCCUGACUCCUUGAGAGUCCUGAAGGAACGUUGAAGACGACGACGUUGAUAGGCCGGGUGUGUAAGCGCAGCGAUGCGUUGAGCUAACCGGUACUAAUGAACCGUGAGGCUUAACCUU